AUUGAACGCUGGCGGCAUGCCUUACACAUGCAAGUCGAACGGUAACAGGGAGCUUGCUCCGCUGACGAGUGGCGAACGGGUGAGUAAUGUAUCGGAACGUACCAUUCAGUGGGGGAUAACGUAGCGAAAGUUACGCUAAUACCGCAUAUUCUGUGAGCAGGAAAGCAGGGGAUCGCAAGACCUCGCGCGGACGGAGCGGCCGAUGGCAGAUUAGGUAGUUGGUGGGAUAAAAGCUUACCAAGCCGACGAUCUGUAGCUGGUCUGAGAGGACGACCAGCCACACUGGGACUGAGACACGGCCCAGACUCCUACGGGAGGCAGCAGUGAGGAAUCUUGCGCAAUGGGGGAAACCCUGACGCAGCAACGCCGCGUGAGUGAGGAAGGCCUUCGGGUCGUAAAGCUCUGUCAGAUGGGAAGAAAUGGUGGGGGCUAAUAUCGCCCAUCCUUGACGGUACCAUACAGGAGGACCGGCAACGACGUA
Molecule: ribosomal RNA, 481 nt
Filed under: uncultured bacterium
Lineage: Bacteria
Description: bacterial SSU rRNA
Rfam family: Bacterial small subunit ribosomal RNA
Source: RNAcentral